GACGAACGCUGGCGGCGUGCCUAAUACAUGCAAGUCGAGCGGAACUGGGGGAGCUUGCUCCUUCCAGUUCAGCGGCGGACGGGUGAGUAACACGUGGGCAACCUGCCCUGCAGAUCGGGAUAACUCCGGGAAACCGGUGCUAAUACCGAAUAGUUUGGCGCCUCUCCUGAGGCGCUACGGAAAGACGGUUUCGGCUGUCACUGCAGGAUGGGCCCGCGGCGCAUUAGCUAGUUGGUGGGGAUAACGGCCCACCAAGGCGACGAUGCGUAGCCGACCUGAGAGGGUGACCGGCCACACGGGGACUGAGACACGGCCCAGACUCCUACGGGAGGCAGCAGUAGGGAAUCUUCCGCAAUGGACGCAAGUCUGACGGAGCAACGCCGCGUGAGUGACGAAGGUUUUCGGAUCGUAAAACUCUGUUGUGAGGGAAGAACACGUACCAACUAACUAUUGGUACCUUGACGGUACCUCGCCAGAAAGCCACGGCUAACUACGUGCCAGCCGCCGCAGUAA
RNAcentral lists this ribosomal RNA (513 nucleotides) under uncultured bacterium. RNAcentral's name for it is "partial 16S ribosomal RNA". It matches the Rfam family "Bacterial small subunit ribosomal RNA", at positions 28 to 523 of the family's 1533-position model. The record is from RNAcentral.